Molecule: ribosomal RNA, 428 nt
Filed under: uncultured bacterium
Lineage: Bacteria
Description: partial 16S ribosomal RNA
Rfam family: Bacterial small subunit ribosomal RNA
Source: RNAcentral
GUGGGGAAUCUUCCGCAAUGGGGGAAACCCUGACCCAGCAACGCCGCGUGAAGGACGAAGGCCUUCGGGUUGUAAACUUCUUUGAUCAGGGACGAAACAAAUGACGGUACCUGAGGAACAAGCCACGGCUAACUACGUGCCAGCAGCCGCGGUAAUACGUAGGUGGCAAGCGUUAUCCGGAUUUACUGGGUGUAAAGGGCGUGUAGGCGGUCUUGCAAGUCGGAAGUGAAAUCCUGCGGCUUAACUGCAGAAUUGCUUUGGAAACUGUCAAUCUGGAGUGUUGGAGAGGUAAGCGGAAUUCCUGGUGUAGCGGUGAAAUGCGUAGAUAUCAGGAAGAACACCGGAGGCGAAGGCGGCUUACUGGACAAUAACUGACGUUGAGGCUCGAAAGCGUGGGAAGCAAACAGGAUUAGAUACCCCAGUAGUCC